Molecule: ribosomal RNA, 468 nt
Filed under: uncultured bacterium
Lineage: Bacteria
Description: partial 16S ribosomal RNA
Rfam family: Bacterial small subunit ribosomal RNA
Source: RNAcentral
GACGAACGCUGGCGGCGUGCUUAACACAUGCGAGUCGAACGGAAAGGCCCUGCUUUUGUGGGGUGCUCGAGUGGCGAACGGGUGAGUAACACGUGAGUAACCUGCCCUUGACUUUGGGAUAACUUCAGGAAACUGGGGCUAAUACCGGAUAGGAGCUCCUGCUGCAGGGUGGGGGUUGGAAAGUUUCGGCGGUUGGGGAUGGACUCGCGGCUUAUCAGCUUGUUGGUGGGGUAGUGGCUUACCAAGGCUUGGACGGGUAGCCGGCCUGGGAGGGUGACCGGCCACAUUGGGACUGAGAUACGGCCCAGUCUCCUACGGUAGGCAGCAGUGGGGAAUCUUGCACAAUGGGCGGACGCCUGAUGCAGCAGCGCCGCGUGCGGGAUGACGGCCUUCGGGUUGUAAACCGCUUUCGCCUGUGACGAAGCGUGAGUGACGGUAAUGGGUAAAGAAGCACCGGCUAACUACGUG